This 280-nucleotide ribosomal RNA is filed under the name uncultured bacterium. Its description in RNAcentral is "partial 16S ribosomal RNA". It matches the Rfam family "Bacterial small subunit ribosomal RNA", at positions 779 to 1058 of the family's 1533-position model. The record is from RNAcentral.
UAGAUACCCGGGUAGUCCACGCCGUAAACGAUGUCUACUAGCCGUUGGGAGACUUGAUUUCUUAGUGGCGCAGCUAACGCAAUAAGUAGACCGCCUGGGGAGUACGGCCGCAAGGUUAAAACUCAAAUGAAUUGACGGGGGCCCGCACAAGCGGUGGAGCAUGUGGUUUAAUUCGACGCAACGCGAAGAACCUUACCAGGCCUUGACAUCCUGAGAACUUUCUAGAAAUAGAUUGGUGCCUUCGGGAACUCAGUGACAGGUGCUGCAUGGCCGCCGUCAG